CGAAUAAGUGAAUAAAGAGAGCUGUCCGUCGACAGUCCAGUAAAGAUUGUAAAACUGUCAUGGAAUUGCUCUCUUUGUAUGAUAUUCG
RNAcentral lists this microRNA precursor (88 nucleotides) under Drosophila mojavensis. RNAcentral's name for it is "microRNA dmo-mir-281 precursor (dmo-mir-281-1)". Its record names the gene dmo-mir-281-1. It matches the Rfam family "mir-46/mir-47/mir-281 microRNA precursor family". Rfam says of the family: The hairpin precursors (represented here) are predicted based on base pairing and cross-species conservation -- their extents are not known. In this case the mature sequences are expressed from the 3' arms of the hairpin precursors. Lineage: Eukaryota; Metazoa; Arthropoda; Insecta; Diptera; Drosophilidae. RNAcentral also lists the same sequence under 1 other name. The record is from miRBase by way of RNAcentral.